This 83-nucleotide transfer RNA is filed under the name Ilumatobacteraceae bacterium. RNAcentral describes it as "tRNA-Leu". It matches the Rfam family "tRNA". Rfam says of the family: Transfer RNA (tRNA) molecules are approximately 80 nucleotides in length. Their secondary structure includes four short double-helical elements and three loops (D, anti-codon, and T loops). Lineage: Bacteria; Bacillati; Actinomycetota; Acidimicrobiia; Acidimicrobiales; Ilumatobacteraceae. RNAcentral also lists the same sequence under 1 other name. The record is from RNAcentral.
GCCCGAGUGGCGGAAUGGCAGACGCGACGGACUCAAAAUCCGUUGUCCGGAAGGGCGUGUGGGUUCGAGUCCCACCUCGGGCA